UGCAAGUCGAGCGGUAAGGCCUUUCGGGGUACACGAGCGGCGAACGGGUGAGUAACACGUGGGUGAUCUGCCCUGCACUCUGGGAUAAGCUUGGGAAACUGGGUCUAAUACCGGAUAUGACCGCAUGCCGCAUGGUGUGUGGUGGAAAGAUUUAUCGGUGCAGGAUGGGCCCGCGGCCUAUCAGCUUGUUGGUGGGGUAAUGGCCUACCAAGGCGACGACGGGUAGCCGACCUGAGAGGGUGACCGGCCACACUGGGACUGAGACACGGCCCAGACUCCUACGGGAGGCAGCAGUGGGGAAUAUUGCACAAUGGGCGGAAGCCUGAUGCAGCGACGCCGCGUGAGGGAUGAAGGCCUUCGGGUUGUAAACCUCUUUCAGCAGGGACGAAGCGUGAGUGACGGUACCUGCAGAAGAAGCACCG
This 422-nucleotide ribosomal RNA is filed under the name Rhodococcus sp. 014-4.1-CV-A-14. Its description in RNAcentral is "bacterial SSU rRNA". It matches the Rfam family "Bacterial small subunit ribosomal RNA", at positions 56 to 495 of the family's 1533-position model. Lineage: Bacteria; Bacillati; Actinomycetota; Actinomycetes; Mycobacteriales; Nocardiaceae. The record is from RNAcentral.